Molecule: ribosomal RNA, 207 nt
Filed under: uncultured bacterium
Lineage: Bacteria
Description: partial 16S ribosomal RNA
Rfam family: Bacterial small subunit ribosomal RNA
Source: RNAcentral
UGCGUAGGCGGGUCUUUAAGUCAGGGGUGAAAUCCUGGAGCUCAACUCCAGAACUGCCUUUGAUACUGAGGAUCCUGAGUUCGGGAGAGGUGAGUGGAACUGCGAGUGUAGAGGUGAAAUUCGUAGAUAUUCGCAAGAACACCAGUGGCGAAGGCGGCUCACUGGCCCGAUACUGACGCUGAGGCACGAAAGGCUGGGAAGCAAACA